GACGUAGGGCGCGAGCGUUGUCCGGAUUUAUUGGGCGUAAAGAGCUCGUAGGCGGUUUGUCGCGUCGUCCGUGAAAACUCACAGCUUAACUGUGAGCUUGCGGUCGAUACGGGCAGGCUAGAGUUCGGUAGGGGAGACUGGAAUUCCUGGUGUAGCGGUGAAAUGCGCAGAUAUCAGGAGGAACACCGGUGGCGAAGGCGGGUCUGUGGGCCGAUACUGACGCUGAGGAGCGAAAGCGUGGGGAGCAAACAGG
Molecule: ribosomal RNA, 253 nt
Filed under: uncultured bacterium
Lineage: Bacteria
Description: partial 16S ribosomal RNA
Rfam family: Bacterial small subunit ribosomal RNA
Source: RNAcentral